GACCCGUGGCGUAGCGGUUAGCGCUGUCGUUUUGUAAACUCGCAUCCGGGGUUCAAUCCCCGAUGGGGUCA
Non-coding RNA from Caenorhabditis brenneri, 71 nucleotides. The record is from the annotation of a GenBank genome assembly. NCBI's taxonomy places the organism in Eukaryota, Metazoa, Nematoda, Chromadorea, Rhabditida, Rhabditidae.